AUUUCUGGAAAAAAAAGAAGAAAAAAAAAAUCUAGAGAUUCUAGGUGAUGGUGUGGGCAAACAAUUUCUUGGGGGAAACGUAGAAACCGCAGAUGGUCCAAAAGGAAUCCAACUAGACUCCUCGUAAAGAUCUUCUCACACGGAUCAUGAUCUGCUGCGACGAAAUCAUGCAACGCAACGUGACUGAAGCUGCUACGAGAUUUCCUGAGGGAUUCGAGCGUCCUUUCAGAGCCAGAUGCAUCCAAAGUAAGAAAGAGACCCUCUCUCCUCCCUACAAAGGUUUGGUGGUUGGUAUCCGAGACUCAAGUUUGAAUUCUACUUGAUUUACAUUUCCAGCUAAGUUUAUUUCUAAAUGAAAUAAACGAAGCAGGUAGCGUGCUACUUAUCUCUCAAAAAACAAAA
This 402-nucleotide long non-coding RNA is filed under the name Ananas comosus (pineapple). RNAcentral describes it as "long non-coding RNA (ACOM_LNC004434)". Lineage: Eukaryota; Viridiplantae; Streptophyta; Magnoliopsida; Poales; Bromeliaceae. The record is from RNAcentral.